Molecule: long non-coding RNA, 226 nt
Organism: Cygnus olor (mute swan)
Lineage: Eukaryota; Metazoa; Chordata; Aves; Anseriformes; Anatidae
Exons: 4
Source: RefSeq, a predicted model, not a curated record
AUAUCAGUUAUGUGGUAUUCCCAGUUAAUAUCUGGCAAGUUGAAGUCACCCAUAAGGACAAGGGCAACCAAUCCUGAGAUUUUCCCUAGUUGCCUAGAGAAUAGCUCAUCCAUGCCAUCGUCCUGAGCAGGCAGUUGAUAGUAGACACCCACAACAACAUCUGCUAUCUGUCCCCUUAAUUGUCACCCAGAAGCUUUCUACUGUGUCACCCCUAACAUCAGGGGCU